AGCAAGUUUGUGUUGCGGUAAUGGGACUCAAUGGCCUUUAAAAAAACUGAUGAAGAAGAUGAAGAUUGGUAAUACUUUAAGAAUUGUCCCAUUUUCUAUUACUAAUGGGAAAUAAAAUUAUCGUACUAUACCAAGAAUAUAAAUAUAUACCUAUCUAACGUAUCAGUAAAGCUAUGCAUAGUUAAAUCCUAAUCUACGAAAUCUGAGCG
Molecule: non-coding RNA, 209 nt
Organism: Cinara cedri
Lineage: Eukaryota; Metazoa; Arthropoda; Insecta; Hemiptera; Aphididae
Source: the annotation of a GenBank genome assembly